UUUCAAAUUGAGACUAUUCGAUCCAGGGGCUGGUCAUCAAGAUGGAGCAGGGUAUAGAGAAGCCAUUAGGGAUGAUACAGAACACCACCAAAGGAGCUCCUUCUGGGAUUCUCUAUUGGCUGAACUCAGCCAGAAGCUGCCAAGGGAGACCCCCACAACUGGAUGCAGCCCACUGAAGUCAGCUUCCUGGGGUGCGUAGCUGAAGGUAGCAGGGAGCAAAAAGAAUCUGAAGGGGAAGUGAACAAUGUAGAGCGUAUCUGUGCUGAAGACGUAAGGAGAGAGUGGAGGUCAGAAGCUGGCAUGGUCCCUGGUGCAUGUAUCAGCCGCUAAAGUGGAGAGUAUGAACAUAAGCAAGAGGAAGUGAUGAGUAUCCCUUCCAGGAGAACUCUAAGAGGCAGUGAGUGAUUUGCUGGGCUCCCAAGCCCUCUGCUCUGAUGACAGCAAAGCCCCAAAUCAUGGUGCCUCCAUCAGUCGGGACCCCUCAGCAGAGCCAGCUUCACAGCUGGAGUGGAUGAAUCAGAACUUUCCCCAUGGGAGCAUUUAUAAAAAGGGGACACCCAGCGCAGAAGAUGUUUUCCAGGGAGAUCUCGGGGAGCCCAACAAGCCAAGAAGAGCAGAGCAAAGCAUUCCAAGGAAGGACUCUAAGUCUGCAACCGAGCACACACGAGAGGCAGGGUCCUGCUGUGUCGUACAGGCUGGAGUGCAGUGGUGCAAUCAUGGCUUACUGCAGCUUCAACCUCUUGGGCUCAAGCCAUCCUCCUGCCUUGGACUCCCAAGUAGCUGGGACUACAGCACAAGGAAAGACCAUGUGAAUACACAGCAAGAACGUGGUGCUCUGCAAGUCAGAAACAGACCCGUCAUCAGACACCAAAUCAGCCAGCACCUUGAUCUAGGAUUUCUGGCCUCCAAAACAGUGAGAAAAUAAAAUUCUGUUGUUUAAGCCAUGCAGCCUGUUGUAUUUCAUUAUGGCAGCCUGAGCAGAAUAAGACAGGUAUAUACAAAUGCAAAUUCUAUUAAGAAAUCUGUAUCUUUUACCCUAUUGAAGU
This 1046-nucleotide long non-coding RNA is filed under the name Homo sapiens (human). Its description in RNAcentral is "HSALNT0405449". Lineage: Eukaryota; Metazoa; Chordata; Mammalia; Primates; Hominidae. The record is from RNAcentral.